AGUAGCGAGAGGAAGGUGAGAAUCCUUCCGGCCGAAUAUCCAAGGUUUCCAGAGUAAAGCUGAUCUGCUCUGGGGAAGUCGGGACCUAAGGCGAGGCCGAGAGGCGUAGUCGAUGGACAACAGGUUGAAAUUCCUGUACUGUCAUGUAACAGAACUGUGGGGACGCAGGGAGGAAAGAAGAGCCGGGAAUGAAGAGACCGGUGCGAGCGAGGUAGGAGUCUGAAAGGCAAAACCGUCAGACAAUCCGAAGACGUGAUGCGCAGCGAACUGAAGUAGCGAAGCUUCGGCCCCUAACUGCCAAGAAAAGCCGCUAUUGUUUGCAUGACACCCGUACCGUAAACCGACACAGGUGGAUGAGGAGAGAAUCCUAAGGCCGACGGGAGGAGCAUUGUUAAGGAACUCGGCAAAAUGACCCCGUAACUUCGGGAGAAGGGGUGCCUCGAAAGAGGCCGCAGAGAAUUGGCCCAAGCAACUGUUUAGCAAAAACACAGGUCUAUGCAAAACCGAAAGGUGAGGUAUAUUGGCUGACGCCUGCCCGGUGCUGGAAGGUUAAGAGGAGAGCUUAGCGCAAGCGAAGGUUUGAAUUUAAGCCCCAGUAAACGGCGGCCGUAACGAUAACGGUCCUAAGGUAGCGAAAUUCCUUGUCGGGUAAGUUCCGACCCGCACGAAAGGCGUAAUGAUUUGGGCGCUGUCUCGACAAUGCACCCGGUGAAAUUGAAGUACCAGUGAAGAUGCUGGUUACCCGCGCCAGGACGGAAAGACCCCAUGGAGCUUUACUCUAGCUUGAUACUGGGAUUCGGUAUUGUCUGUACAGGAUAGGUGGGAGGCUAUGAACCGUGGACGCCAGUCUGCGGGGAGCCGCUGUUGGGAUACCACCCUUACAAUACUGGAUUUCUAACCUGCCGCCAUGACCUGGCGGAGGGACAAUGUCUGGUGGGGAGUUUGACUGGGGCGGUCGCCUCCGAAAGAGUAUCGGAGGCGCUCAAAGGUCCUCUCAGGAUGGACGGAAACCAUCCGAAGAGUGCAAAGGCAUAAGAGGGCUUGACUGUGACACCGACGGGUGGAGCAGGUACGAAAGUAGGACUUAGUGAUCCGGUGGUAGAAAGUGGGAUUGCCAUCGCCCAACGGAUAAAAGCUACCCUGGGAUAACAGGCUUAUCACUCCCAAGAGUUCACAUCGACGGAGUGGUUUGGCACCUCGAUGUCGGCUCAUCGCAUCCUGGGGCUGUAGCAGGUCCCAAGGGUUGGGCUGUUCGCCCAUUAAAGCGGUACGCGAGCUGGGUUCAGAACGUCG
This 1293-nucleotide ribosomal RNA is filed under the name metagenome. Its description in RNAcentral is "bacterial LSU rRNA". It matches the Rfam family "Bacterial large subunit ribosomal RNA", at positions 1305 to 2621 of the family's 2925-position model. The record is from RNAcentral.